UACGGGGGGGGCAAGCGUUGUUCGGAAUUACUGGGCGUAAAGGGCUCGUAGGCGGCCAACUAAGUCAGACGUGAAAUCCCUCGGCUUAACCGGGGAACUGCGUCUGAUACUGGAUGGCUUGAGUUUGGGAGAGGGAUGCGGAAUUCCAGGUGUAGCGGUGAAAUGCGUAGAUAUCUGGAGGAACACCGGUGGCGAAGGCGGCAUCCUGGACCAUUCUUGACGCUGAGGCGCGAAAGCUAGGGGAGCAAACGGG
This 253-nucleotide ribosomal RNA is filed under the name uncultured bacterium. RNAcentral describes it as "partial 16S ribosomal RNA". It matches the Rfam family "Bacterial small subunit ribosomal RNA", at positions 524 to 776 of the family's 1533-position model. The record is from RNAcentral.